AUUGAACGCUGGCGGCAGGCCUAACACAUGCAAGUCGAGCGGCAGCGGGAAGUAGCUUGCUACUUUGCCGGCGAGCGGCGGACGGGUGAGUAAUGUCUGGGAAACUGCCUGAUGGAGGGGGAUAACUACUGGAAACGGUAGCUAAUACCGCAUAACGUCGCAAGACCAAAGAGGGGGACCUUCGGGCCUCUUGCCAUCAGAUGUGCCCAGAUGGGAUUAGCUAGUAGGUGGGGUAACGGCUCACCUAGGCGACGAUCCCUAGCUGGUCUGAGGGGAUGACCAGCCACACUGGAACGGGGACACGGUCCAGACUCCUACGGGAGGCAGCAGUGGGGAAUAUUGCACAAUGGGCGCAAGCCUGAUGCAGCCAUGCCGCGUGUAUGAAGAAGGCCUUCGGGUUGUAAAGUACUUUCAGCGGGGAGGAAGGUGCUGAGGUUAAUAACCUCAGCAAUUGACGUUACCCGCAGAAGAAGCACCGGCUAACUCCGUGCCAGCAGCCGCAGUAA
This 506-nucleotide ribosomal RNA is filed under the name uncultured bacterium. RNAcentral's name for it is "partial 16S ribosomal RNA". It matches the Rfam family "Bacterial small subunit ribosomal RNA", at positions 29 to 523 of the family's 1533-position model. The record is from RNAcentral.